Molecule: ribosomal RNA, 525 nt
Filed under: Triticum aestivum (bread wheat)
Lineage: Eukaryota; Viridiplantae; Streptophyta; Magnoliopsida; Poales; Poaceae
Description: partial small subunit ribosomal RNA
Source: RNAcentral
AUGGUUCUCAAGACAGAGCUCUGCCGUCUCAGCGGUGCGAAGAUAUACCCAGGGAAGGGUAUCAGAUUCAUCCGUUCAGACUGUCAGGUAUUCCUUUUCUCGAACUCCAAGUGCAAGCGCUACUUCCACAACCAUCUCAAGCCCGCUAAGCUCACAUGGACGGCCAGGUUCAGGAAGCAGCACAAGAAGGAUAUCCAUGUUGAGGCUGCAAAGAAGAGGCGGCGCACAACUAAAAGGCUGUAUUCCAGGUCUAUUGUCGGUGCUUUUCUUGAUGUCAUCCAGAAGAAGAGAGCUGGGAGCAUCUCCAGCCAUUGGCCCCCCAAGGGGCGUCUAAAAUCGCCGUCUGGGGUGACCCGGCGCAAAAAGUGGGCCUGGGGUGAGAUCAAGGAGCGCAUCAAGAAGACCAAGAACGAGAAGCGAGCUAAGAAGGUGGUGGUGACGAUGUAUCAGAAAGCUGCCGGGAGAGUCAACGCCCCUAAACCCGGGAAGGCCCCCAAGGUUGGCGGCGGCGGCGGGAAGCGCUAG